GUACACUCCUACGGGAGGCAGCAGUGGGGAAUUUUGGACAAUGGGCGAAAGCCUGAUCCAGCCAUGCCGCGUGCAGGAUGAAGGCCUUCGGGUUGUAAACUGCUUUUGUACGGAACGAAACGGCCUUUUCUAAUAAAGAGGGCUAAUGACGGUACCGUAAGAAUAAGCACCGGCUAACUACGUGCCAGCAGCCGCGGUAAUACGUAGGGUGCAAGCGUUAAUCGGAAUUACUGGGCGUAAAGCGUGCGCAGGCGGUUAUGUAAGACAGUUGUGAAAUCCCCGGGCUCAACCUGGGAACUGCAUCUGUGACUGCAUAGCUAGAGUACGGUAGAGGGGGAUGGAAUUCCGCGUGUAGCAGUGAAAUGCGUAGAUAUGCGGAGGAACACCGAUGGCGAAGGCAAUCCCCUGGACCUGUACUGACGCUCAUGCACGAAAGCGUGGGGAGCAAACAGGAUUAGAUACCCGGGUAGUCCCA
RNAcentral lists this ribosomal RNA (475 nucleotides) under uncultured organism. RNAcentral's name for it is "partial 16S ribosomal RNA". It matches the Rfam family "Bacterial small subunit ribosomal RNA", at positions 331 to 797 of the family's 1533-position model. The record is from RNAcentral.